This 467-nucleotide ribosomal RNA is filed under the name uncultured bacterium. RNAcentral describes it as "partial 16S ribosomal RNA". It matches the Rfam family "Bacterial small subunit ribosomal RNA", at positions 28 to 506 of the family's 1533-position model. The record is from RNAcentral.
GACGAACGCUGGCGGCGUGCUUAACACAUGCAAGUCGAACGGAAAGGCCCUGCUUUUGUGGGGUGCUCGAGUGGCGAACGGGUGAGUAACACGUGAGUAACCUGCCCUUGACUUUGGGAUAACUUCAGGAAACUGGGGCUAAUACCGGAUAGGAGCUCCUGCUGCAUGGUGGGGGUUGGAAAGUUUCGGCGGUUGGGGAUGGACUCGCGGCUUAUCAGCUUGUUGGUGGGGUAGUGGCUUACCAAGGCUUUGACGGGUAGCCGGCCUGAGAGGGUGACCGGCCACAUUGGGACUGAGUUACGGCCCAGACUCCUACGGGAGGCAGCAGUGGGGAAUAUUGCACAAUGGGCGGAAGCCGGAUGCAGCAACGCCGCGUGCGGGAUGACGGCCUUCGGGUUGUAAACCGCUUUCGCCUGUGACGAAGCGUGAGUGACGGAAAUGGGUAAAGAAGCACCGGCUAACUACGU